GGCACACAAACGCACCUGAUUGCAAUGCCAAUCAGUGUUGAAAAUGAUAUUCCAGCUCCUCAAAUGUUCAUGAUUUGAAAUAUUGCUCAGCCAUAAAUAACUUUUUAAUAAAAAUAUAACUCAUUAUUUCUAAUAGAAACAUUGCCUAUGUUUCCCCAGCAGAAGAGAUUUCCUCCCGCGGCGUUCAGGUAUUGUCAUUUGGCGCCCUCUAACGGUGUAACUCAUCAACUGCCAAACGUGUUUUUUUGUUUUUGUUUUUUUUUCUUUCUUUGAAUCAAUUUGAGCUUUGAUGCCUGGUGACAUAUUGGUCGGCACGUCUGCCGCACAGUUUCCAGGUUCUAAUAUACGCUGCCGGCCCGACUGUGGGCAUUUUGCACGUUCUCUCCAUGCAAAAGGGUUAACCUCUGUGAGACAUUCACAUGUUCAACUUAAUUUUCCCGAGGUAGCGUCGUAAAACACAGGAUGUUAAAAAAAUCAGGGUUUAAAUGUUGGGAGGUGAUUUUGAACUCCCAUGAGUUAUUCGUAACGUUGAACAAUUUUUGGAGUUUAAACGAUGCCCAGAGUAGGGCUUAUUUCACAGUUGCUCACAUGGUCUUAGAGGAACUAUUCGGUUUUGUUGGAACCGGAGGAGAUAAAGUGUGGGAAAGCGUUCACAGAUGGAUGGAGCUGACCGUCUGUUUGAAAAAUGAAGUCUCAAACAGGUAAGAACACAAUCCUGUCACAGCCAUAUAUUUAGAAACAAAGUAGCUGUUUUCAAAAGGCUACGGUUUUAUUCUUUAAAUGCAGGCUGCGUUUUAUUGCACUCAGUUUAGUGCCCAGAUAAUGGGCACCUUAUAUGCGUUCCAUUUGGCUUUUAAUUUUUUUUUUCGAAUCCUCAAAAAAAAAAAAAAAAAAAAAAGACAAAUUUGGAUUUCUUUAUUUUCAUCAAAGCAAUGAAACAACUCGUUUUGUAAUGAAGCUAAACUUGAGGCGGCAUCGUACAGUAGCAGUCACGUUGUACAUUUAUGGCAAAAGCUGCGGAAUCCAAACUUUUUGAGCUAAUAUUUAUCGAAAUGUACUUGAAAAUAUCAUUCAAAUGAAAGACUUCCAUUGUGUGUAAAGACCCAAAACAAUUUUGUUUCAGAAAUAAAUAUAGGGUACCCUCACUUGAUCUGACUGGGAUGGUAAAGAAAGUUGACCAAUCACGAGGUUUCCAGGUAGUGGAGGGACGCAAAAAUCUGCAUUGCAUCGAACCUUCCUUUUUUUUUUUUUUUUUUUUUCCUCGAGUUACACUGUGUUUGUGUGUGUGUGUGUGUGUGUGUGUGUGUGUGUGUGUGAGAGAGAGAGAGAGAGAAAGGGGGGUUCAAUUAAAAAAAAAAUAAUAAGGCUCUCGCUAAAGAAGAAAAAAAGGACAAAUUACUCGUCUAUAUAUAAAGAUGUGGUGGGGGCACAGAAUAGCAAAAGGAAGUCCAAAGAGGGAGAGGAAAAAAAAACAGUGGAACCCUGAUUUGAAUUUGAACUGAACUUGCACUUUUCCAUGCAGUUGUCCAAUGUUCCAACGUUUCAUUGGUCUCUUUUUUUUUUUUUUUUUUUUUGCUGGGCGGGGCUAUCAUUUAGUGCAGGUGCGGACAUUGUGUGUGUGUGUGUGGGGGGGCACUCAACGCUAAUCACUCCCAGCUGCUCUCAUGUCAACCCCUUCCGGGUCAGCCACUGCCUGACUUAAUGCCUUUUUGCCAUUUGGUAGCUCAGUUUGUGUCCAAGCCAAGGAAUGGACGCCUGUGGCAAGAGAGAAGGCCUCACUGCGUCGAAAACGAUGAUUUGUGAGGAGUAAGAGUCGAGCAUUGGCACAUGAAUUGCAGAGAUUCUUCGCACGUGUCCUGUGGGUGAAAGAAGUCCCCAAUUGACUUUAUAAGUAGAAGCAGCUUCGAAGUUGUUCUUUUUGUCAGAGCUGACGUGUUCAAUGAAAGAAUAGUAGUCCGGCCAACUUGGUCAAAGUAAGGUGCCUUUUUAUUUUCUGUUGGUUUGUGGUUUCCGCCUCUCCUUUGAGGGUUCAUGAUGUGAUGUUUGGGCGCAAACAGGCGGUUUCCAAUUACGCCAUCUUGUGUUUCUUAGAGGUCAGAGAGUACAGGUGAUGGGUGAAGCACGAUUUUUUUUUUUUUUUUUUUUUUUUUUUUUUCUCCCCCAUCGUUAAUUUAUCCGAUUAGUCUAAGGGUGACGGCAACUUCAUUAGAAAGCUAUCCAUUGGCGUGUGGGAGGUUGCACCGGGCACUAUGGCAGGCGUCUGUUGGUAUCGGGAGGAGUCUCCUUGGAUUUGUUUUACAGCCAGUUCCGAAACACCUCCAAAGAUUUGAAGCUCUCAAGUGUAUACAUUCGCUGACUAGUAGUCACUGGAAGUGCUCCACAUGUCACGCAUUUUGAGUGGGGGCGGACCCCCCAUUUUAGUUUUUUUAUUUUUUCUUUCUUUUUUUCUUCCCCCAACUAUCAAAUAUACACCAUUGGGGGGGAAAAACACCUUGUCAUGCAGGAUCUUCCCCAGGCUGUGGAAAAUUCUUCCUCCGUGUGAGACGAGUGAAUGAAGUUUGGCUUUUUGCCUGACUUAAGUGCACCAAUGUGCAAUCUGGUCUGUUUUUGGGAUCCUAUCACAUUUACAAAACAAUUUACAGACUACAAUAAUUUUACAAUUCUGAGAUUCAAAAGUAAGUUACUUAUUCAUUUAACAUUAUCCCCCCUCGGUAAGGUUUGUAAUGCUGACCAAGCAGUAGAUGGCAGCGUAAAGCAGAGUCGAACUGCAUACUUUCCAAAUGAGCAAAUGCAUUACUUUAUCACCGACUUUUAAAAGGUAAAUGAUAGCUAUAAGCUGUUCAUAACUUUAAUGUACAGAGUCUCUGAAGAGUUAAAGCUUUUGAUUUUGGGAGCCAUAGUGACAUUUCAGUGUUUUGCAAAUUUUGUGGCUUCAGGCUGUAGUCUAAGUGUGUUCCUGUUAGCAUUACAAUCGGCUCCUCCAAAGCACUCGAUUCUAGCUUCAGCAGACAGACUCAAAUUCACUUAUGUAGCUUUUUAAUGCUCUUUUUAAUGUUUGAAUGUUAGUUUUCUUGCUUGUCUUUGUGAAUAAUUUGUUCGACUUCUUUACUCGAAGAAAAGAACUGAGCAAUGUAGGUUUGGGCGGCCGGAGGUCCAAUCCGGGCUCUGACUUUUUUUUUUUUUUUUUUUUUUUUUCUCUUCCCUCUUUUCCAAACCUCGAACAUGGGCAUCGGCAACCCGCUGCUCUCUAGCGCUGACCUACUGGCUCCCUGGAGCUUUUUCAAAAAAUGUUUGAAAAUGAAAAAAGAUGGUGGGGGGGGGGAGUUAGAAAUAUAUUUCUUUUUAUUAUGUGUCUGUAGGUGGACAAAUGUUUUCAAAUUCUGUAAGAAUGUGUGGCAUAAGUAUUCAAUUUCAACAUUUCUGUCAAGGAAGAUUUGCAUCAUAGCCUGCGACAAGUUUUGAUCAGGGCAGGUAAACAAACCGGUGGCUGUGUGAUGGGCCAUGGAUCCCAAGGGUGAAAAAGAGAAAAAUUACCGAGAACAGAGGAUUCAAUGUUUUUGGAACGAAUCAUUUGCAUUCAUUGACAAUGCAGAAGAAUUGCCUGAAUGUUUGCUUUUGUAGCGAGAGGUUGUCAAAUAACAGUAAUGUGGAAAGGCAUUUGCAGGGAAGGCAUGUUAAAUUUGCAGCAGAGUACCCAGUUGCGAAAAAGUCCAAUUGCAUUACAUAUGGAAAAAUUAGGAGCGCAGAAAUUUAAGUGAAUUGCAUUUCCAAACGCCACGGAUGCUGCAAGUUUUUGUUGAAACCUGGGAGGAGCUAAAGCGUGAAAAACCGUUCAGAUGGCUGGAGCUGACCAGUGAUGUCUUAAACGGGUAAGAACACAAUCCUGUCAUAGGCAUGUAUUCAGUGACAGUUUUUUUUUUCUUUUUUGUAAUACACGCAGACUGCAUGUUAUUGCACUGUUUAGUGCCCAGAUAAUGAGCACGUUAUGCGUGUUCUCCCUCCCCCCUUAUCCUGAAAAUAAAAAUGACAUAGAAUCACUAGCCCUUCAUUUCAGCAAAGCAAUGAAACAUAAUGUAAUGAAGUUAAACUUGAGGCGGCAUCGCACAACAGCAGUCAUGUAGUGCAUUGUUCUCUACAGAAUGAAAAUAAACGAAUGCUCAUUGUUUGAAGCAAACUUAGUCAUUUUGAUAGUAGGCUAAUGUAGCUACUACAGUAAGUUUCCUUCAUUAUUUUAUUUAUUUAUUUUUUUUGCAGCUCAAAAUGUAUUCAGUAUGGCUUUCAACAUUUUGGGAUGCCGACCCUUGCGCUAACAAAUGGUGCCAUGACCCGGAUUCUUAAAUAAAUCUGUGGUGAGAUGAGCUGAGACAUAAAAAAACUGCACCGGAAUAAAGGUAA
Molecule: long non-coding RNA, 4395 nt
Organism: Syngnathoides biaculeatus (alligator pipefish)
Lineage: Eukaryota; Metazoa; Chordata; Actinopteri; Syngnathiformes; Syngnathidae
Exons: 2
Source: RefSeq, a predicted model, not a curated record